GGUGGAAAUGAAAGUCUUCAGACAUUUUCAUGUCUUGAGCCUCAGCAACAACAAAAAAAUAACACUCAUCUUCAGUCAGAACUAAGAAAAUAAGCCUCAUCUCAGCUUGCCAAUUGCUUUGGGGAAGCUUUGCAUCACUGUAGUGAAAGUGCUUUGCCUUACACCAAGAUACUUAUCCACGUCUGGAUAAGAACGGCCACCUCUGGUCACAAAUUGACUGCAGUAUGUUGCUCACUGUUUAUAGGUUGGCCAUUCUAAUCAGAGCCAUAGGCACCAGUCCAUCUCUCAGCUCUCUGCAAGCAGGAGCAGUGGGUUGCUCUGCUACUUCGGCAUUGUGACACCACUCUUUGAGACUUCAUCACCAGCACAAUAUGACACCAGGAGUACUGUAGCAUCUGCUGGCUCCAGCCAGGACUGAGGUCACAGCUUCCUGAAUCCACCACCUCCCUGAUGAUCCUGACAUUUAUACAUGGCAGAUAAAAAGAAGAGACACAACAGCAAGACAGAUGGACACGGCUGUUUGCUACCAGAGAUACCUGAUGUUAUUCAGCAUCUCCAAGGAGAAGGAAUUUCAGUUUGGAGGAACAGUUAACUUGAUAUUGAAUCAGAGUUGCUAAUGGUUACAGAAGGCAUUUUCACAAUAAAAUGCUGUUCCUCUUCACU
Non-coding RNA from Meleagris gallopavo (turkey), 663 nucleotides. The record is from RefSeq and is a predicted model, not a curated record. NCBI's taxonomy places the organism in Eukaryota, Metazoa, Chordata, Aves, Galliformes, Phasianidae.